Molecule: ribosomal RNA, 492 nt
Filed under: uncultured Sphingobacterium sp.
Lineage: Bacteria; Pseudomonadati; Bacteroidota; Sphingobacteriia; Sphingobacteriales; Sphingobacteriaceae
Description: bacterial SSU rRNA
Rfam family: Bacterial small subunit ribosomal RNA
Source: RNAcentral
GAGUUUGAUCUUGGCUCAGGAUGAACGCUAGCGGCAGGCUUAAUACAUGCAAGUCGAGGGGCAGCACGGGUAGCAAUACCUGGUGGCGACCGGCAAACGGGUGCGGAACACGUACGCAACCUUCCCAUAACUGGCGAAUAGCCUUCCGAAAGGGAGAUUAAUACACCGUAACAUAACGAGUAGGCAUCUAUUUGUUAUUAUAGCUUCGGCGGUUUUAGAUGGGCGUGCGCCUGAUUAGGUAGUUGGCGGGGUAACGGCCCACCAAGCCUUCGAUCAGUAACUGGUGUGAGAGCACGACCAGUCACACGGGCACUGAGACACGGGCCCGACUCCUACGGGAGGCAGCAGUAAGGAAUAUUGGUCAAUGGACGCAAGUCUGAACCAGCCAUGCCGCGUGAAGGAUGAAGGCCCUCUGGGUUGUAAACUUCUUUUAUCUGGGACGAAAACGGCUAUCUAGUUCACUUGACGGUACCAGAGGAAUAAGCACCGGCU